UUGCAUAUUUCAAAAGCGGAGGAAAAGAAACCAACAGGGAUUGCCUUAGUAACGGCGAGUGAAGCGGCAAAAGCUCAAAUUUGAAAUCUGGCGCCUUCGGUGUCCGAGUUGUAAUUUGAAGAAGGUAACUUUGGAGUUGGCUCUUGUCUAUGUUCCUUGGAACAGGACGUCACAGAGGGUGAGAAUCCCGUGCGAUGAGAUGCCCAAUUCUAUGUAAAGUGCUUUCGAAGAGUCGAGUUGUUUGGGAAUGCAGCUCUAAGUGGGUGGUAAAUUCCAUCUAAAGCUAAAUAUUGGCGAGAGACCGAUAGCGAACAAGUACAGUGAUGGAAAGAUGAAAAGAACUUUGAAAAGAGAGUGAAAAAGUACGUGAAAUUGUUGAAAGGGAAGGGCUUGAGAUCAGACUUGGUAUUUUGCGAUCCUUUCCUUCUUGGUUGGGUUCUCCGCAGCUUACUGGGCCAGCAUCGGUUUGGAUGGUAGGAUAAUGAUUAAGGAAUGUGGCUCUACUUCGGUGGAGUGUUAUAGCCUUGGUUGAUACUGCCUGUCUAGACCGAGGACUGCGUCUUGACUAGGAUGCUGCAAAUUAACCC
This 587-nucleotide ribosomal RNA is filed under the name Debaryomyces hansenii. RNAcentral describes it as "eukaryotic LSU rRNA". It matches the Rfam family "Eukaryotic large subunit ribosomal RNA", at positions 35 to 640 of the family's 3401-position model. The record is from RNAcentral. Lineage: Eukaryota; Fungi; Ascomycota; Pichiomycetes; Serinales; Debaryomycetaceae.